UUACAAAAUAACGUAAAAUGCUUAGGGCGUAUAAUAGCGCGCCACUUUAAUAAUUCAAAACAAGAUCACAGAAGAAAGACUGGAAAGAGUUAUGCCAACAUGCAGAUAAUGGUUAUCUCUACGUAGUAAAUUAAAGGGUGUUCUUGGGCAGCCCGGGUGGCUCAGCGGUUUAGCGUCGCCUUCAGCCCAGGGCCUGAUCCUGGGAAUCCAGGAUCGAGUCCCACGUAGGCCUCCCUGCAUGGAGCCUGCUUCUCCCUCUGCCUGUGUCUCUGUGUCUCUCACAAAUAAGUAAAUUUUAAAAAUCUUUAAAAAAUAAUAGAAAUAAAAAAUAAAGGAUAUUCUUAUGUCUUUUCUCUCUUGAGAAUCUCUAAGAUAGCCAGUCAUUUUCUAAUCAGCAAAUACCAUAUAUUUUAAUCUUUUUUUUUUUUAAUAGGACAGUCUCAAAGCUGGUAGCAUUGGUCUCCAAAAAGAACACAUUGAUGCUGAGAAGACCAAAAACUUUUCUAAGCUGACUCCCAGGUGGAGGAAGUCAGGUUGUGGGCUCUCUUCAUCCCACCAGGAGCCAACAUUUGUUGAUCACAGAUGAAUCCAUGCAACCCACCCAGAGUGAUGCUUUGAUUCUCUUCAGCAAAGACUGGGCCGAGAAAAAAAUAAAAAGUCCCGGUAGCAAUUCGGUGGGCCUAAGCACAUGCACUGAGAAGAGAGUCAAAAAGGAAGAUUUUCACAACGAAUUAUCAUUCAAGUCCUCUCAGACCUGUAGUCUCGUAUAUGGCUACAGGAGGUGGCCCUAGAUUUCUUAUAAACCCUUCCAAAAGCUUCUAUGAAAUUAUCCUACUUUUCUCUCCUCUGGGACAGAAAGCAUCUUUACCACGUUGCCCCAGGCCUGGUCUUGCCAUCUCAUUCAACACCAAGGCUUUGUCAAAAGAGAGGUCAGUAGCCUCUUGGAAUCUUUUGGAGAUAGGUAGAGCCUGGUAAUCGUUUCCCACAAUGGGGUUAUCUGCUAUCUGCCAGGGUUGUUUUCCUGAAUGAUAUCUGAUCAAACUCCACUGCAAAAAGUACCCAAGGGGGUCUUCCCAGCUCUGUCUUCUUCCUCUGCUUUCUAUCAAUCAACUCGAGACAAGCUAAU
Molecule: long non-coding RNA, 1126 nt
Filed under: Vulpes vulpes (red fox)
Lineage: Eukaryota; Metazoa; Chordata; Mammalia; Carnivora; Canidae
Description: lncRNA (ENSVVUG00000027607.1)
Source: RNAcentral